UACGGGGGAGCAAGCGUUGUUCGGAUUUACUGGGCGUAAAGGGCGCGUAGGCGGUCAGCACAAGUCAGUUGUGAAAUCUCCGGGCUUAACUCGGAAAGGUCAACUGAUACUGUGCGACUAGAGUGCAGAAGGGGCAACUGGAAUUCUCGGUGUAGCGGUGAAAUGCGUAGAGAUGUGGAGGAACACCAGUGGCGAAGGCGACUCUUUGGCCUGUAACUGACACUGAGGCGCGAAAGCGUGGGGAGCAAACAGG
Molecule: ribosomal RNA, 253 nt
Filed under: uncultured bacterium
Lineage: Bacteria
Description: partial 16S ribosomal RNA
Rfam family: Bacterial small subunit ribosomal RNA
Source: RNAcentral